UCCGGUUUGGCACCGGCAGUCUCGUUAGAGUUCCCGCCAUUACGCGCUGGCAACUAACGAUAAGGGUUGCGCUCGUUGCUGGACUUAACCAAACACCUCACGGCACGAGCUGACGACAGCCAUGCAGCACCUAUAUAGAGACCCUUACGGGAAUUACAAUCUCUUGUAACGUCCUCUACAUUUCGAGCCCAGGUAAGGUUCUUCGCGUUGCAUCGAAUUAAACCACAUGCUCCACUGCUUGUGCGGGCCCCCGUCAAUUCUUUUGAGUUUCACCCUUGCGAGCGUACUCCCCAGGCGGCAUACUUAACGCGUUAGCUCCGAAACAGAAAGGGUUGAGCCCUCCUACUUCUAGUAUGCAUCGUUUAAGGCUAGGACUAC
Molecule: unclassified non-coding RNA, 378 nt
Filed under: uncultured Chlamydiales bacterium
Lineage: Bacteria; Pseudomonadati; Chlamydiota; Chlamydiia; Chlamydiales
Description: contains 16S-23S intergenic spacer region
Source: RNAcentral